AACCUAGCACACCUGCGGUGUGUACCUGCGGAAGGAUCAUUACCCAGAGUUGUAGGCUUUGCCUGCUAUCUCUUACCCAUGUCUUUUGAGUACCUUACGUUUCCUCGGUGGGUUCGCCCGCCGGUUGGACAAAACUUAAACCCUUUGUAGUUGCAAUCAGCGUCUGAAAAAACUUAAUAGUUACAACUUUCAACAACGGAUCU
Molecule: unclassified non-coding RNA, 203 nt
Filed under: soil metagenome
Description: partial contains 5.8S ribosomal RNA, internal transcribed spacer 2, and large subunit ribosomal RNA
Source: RNAcentral